This 254-nucleotide ribosomal RNA is filed under the name uncultured bacterium. Its description in RNAcentral is "partial 16S ribosomal RNA". It matches the Rfam family "Bacterial small subunit ribosomal RNA", at positions 524 to 776 of the family's 1533-position model. The record is from RNAcentral.
UACGGGGGGUGCGAGCGUUGUCCGGAAUCACUGGGCGUAAAGGGCGCGUAGGUGGUUUGAUAAGGGUGUGGUGAAAGCCCGGAGCUCAACUCCGGGUCUGCCGUGCCGACUGUCAAACUCGAGGGCUGUAGAGGCAGACGGAAUUCCGGGUGUAGCGGUGGAAUGCGUAGAGAUCUGGAGGAACACCGGUGGCGAAGGCGGCAUCCUGGACCAACACUGACGCUGAGUGAGCGAAAGCCAGGGGAGCAAACGGG